Molecule: ribosomal RNA, 462 nt
Filed under: uncultured bacterium
Lineage: Bacteria
Description: bacterial SSU rRNA
Rfam family: Bacterial small subunit ribosomal RNA
Source: RNAcentral
AACGAACGCUGGCGGCAGGCUUAACACAUGCAAGUCGAACGGACGUAGCAAUACGUUAGUGGCAGACGGGUGAGUAACGCGUGGGAAUGUGCCCUUUAGUUCGGAAUAACACAGAGAAAUUUGUGCUAAUACCGGAUAAUCCCGAGAGGGGAAAGAUUUAUCGCUGAAGGAGCAGCCCGCGUCUGAUUAGCUAGUUGGUGAGGUAAUGGCUCACCAAGGCGACGAUCAGUAGCUGGUCUGAGAGGAUGAUCAGCCACACUGGGACUGAGACACGGCCCAGACUCCUACGGGAGGCAGCAGUUGGGAAUCUUAGGCAAUGGACGAAAGUCUGACCUAGCGACGCCGCGUGAGGGAAGAAGGCCUUCGGGUUGUAAACCUCUGUCAUGGGGAAGAAGUAAGUGACGGUACCCCGGAGGAAGCCCGGCUAACUACGUGCCAGCAGCCGCGGUAAGGAGUAGUACA